UAGGCUUUCUAGGAAUCACAUUGGUAGU
Molecule: non-coding RNA, 28 nt
Filed under: Mus musculus (house mouse)
Lineage: Eukaryota; Metazoa; Chordata; Mammalia; Rodentia; Muridae
Source: RNAcentral